This 429-nucleotide ribosomal RNA is filed under the name uncultured bacterium. Its description in RNAcentral is "bacterial SSU rRNA". It matches the Rfam family "Bacterial small subunit ribosomal RNA", at positions 355 to 775 of the family's 1533-position model. The record is from RNAcentral.
UGGGGAAUUUUUCGCAAUGGGGGAAACCCUGACGAAGCAACGCCGCGUGGAGGAUGAAGGCCUUCGGGUCGUAAACUCCUGUCGACUGGGACGAACGUGGUCCGACCCAAUACGUCGGGCCAUCGACUGUACCGGUGGAGGAAGCCACGGCUAACUCUGUGCCAGCAGCCGCGGUAAUACAGAGGUGGCAAGCGUUGUUCGGAAUUACUGGGCGUAAAGGGCGCGUAGGCGGUCAGGUCAGUCCCGUGUGAAAUCCCUCGGCUCAACUGAGGAACUGCACGGGAAACUGCCUGGCUUGAGUUCGGGAGAGGGAAGCGGAAUUCCGGGUGUAGCGGUGAAAUGCGUAGAUAUCCGGAGGAACACCGGUGGCGAAGGCGGCUUCCUGGACCGACACUGACGCUGAGGCGCGAAAGCUAGGGGAGCAAACGG